Alosa alosa (allis shad) is the source of this 1603-nucleotide long non-coding RNA. RefSeq lists it as uncharacterized. The transcript has 2 exons. Lineage: Eukaryota; Metazoa; Chordata; Actinopteri; Clupeiformes; Clupeidae. The record is from RefSeq and is a predicted model, not a curated record.
GAGAGGGAGAGACAGACGGAGGGAGCUCAAGGACAACGGCGGUAUCAGGCUGCUUCGCGCUAGCGCCAGAAGGCUGCUGCUUCCACAACAGACUUAGCUAAAGCUUACUGGGAACAGGCCUCAGUGGAAAGCCAUAUGGACACAUUAGCAGACAUGGCGAAAGACAAGACAAGGCAAUACCUAAGAGCAUCGUCGGCAGAAGCUGGAGUAGUCCACGUUUGGUGACUCUUUUGGAUGUUGUCCCAUCGUCACUGUGCCAAAUGGAAUAUACGCUCAAGAAUGCAUCAUUUUUGUGUUGAAGAAAUUACCAUACUGUGGACAUUUACAACAAGCUAUUGCACCACGUAGGAGGUAACUUGGGGUGAAGGUGACUUUCCACUACCAGCUCACAUGGAUCGAGCUUGAGAGGAUAUUAUUGCGUAGCAUUGUACUCUGGGUGGAUGCUGUGGGAUAUAUCGACAUGCAUGAACAUGAACCUACUCGAGGUGUUCAGUUCUGCACAUCACGGAGCAUACUGACUACACAUGGCUGUGGAGAAGGAGAAGGAGACAGAGGGAGGAAGCUCCAGAGGAGCCAUGGCUGCUGCUGCUGGGUGUGUGUGUGUGUGCGCCAGCAGGCUCCAGAGAUGAGGCCUGCAGCUGCAUGAACAGCGUCUGCAGGCCGGAGACGCAGGAGGCAUCAGCCCCUGGGGAAGCCAGAGAGAAGCCUCUGCUAUUGAUCAGGCUCAGCGUGGGCAUGCUCUCCACCAGGCCUCACGUGCUGGGGACAGGGCUGAGCCUGAGCAGAGCAGAGCAGAGCUGGGGGAUGUACUGGAGAGGCCCAGACUGAGGGAUUACCACCAGACACUGAUCCCAGAACAGGGGAUUUAGCCGCUUUUUGUCGAGUUACAGGCCGGGGUCAUUAACAGGAAAAUGAAACACAGUGGAAACGAUGCUGUGCACUAAAAUGGAACUAGAACUACAGAUGGCUUGUAAACAGACAUUCACACAGACAUUCACACAAACACACGCCUACAGAAACAGCAUGAUGUUAUUGAACAACACUGAUAUGUCUGAAGCAUAACAUCAUAUCUACUUCAGUAUGCAUUCCAGUCUCCAGUUUUCAUUCUGUUUUCUGAAAAAAAGUGUUUUCUUUUAUGAUAGCAACAAACAGGGACUGAGACGUCUUGUCUUACAGAGUCAUUGCAAACAAAACAAAAUACAGGUUCCAACACCUUCUCAUUGUGUGGCAAAGCCUGUUCUUUGUCUGAUAUAGUGGUGCUGAGGUCUAUUCAUUUGGCUGCAGACGCAGCAGUGCACCAAGGACCGGGGAACCUGCUAAGGAGCCCUGAUCGAGUACUUUAAAUAAUGCCUGUGUUUGCAGAAUGUGGUUUCUCAGGGAAAACACACACAGAGAGAAAGAGAGAGAGAGAGAGAAAGUAAGUCACAUGUGGUGAGGACAAAGAGAGAGAUGGACGCCUACAAGGACGUAAACAUCUGCUUAACUUUGCUUUUAAUUCAACUCACUCCAAAGUAAAUAAUAAUAAAUUAUGAAAUGUCACUAAUGCUCAUUGUGUAGACCUACAAACAAGUCUUGAGUGUACUAAAUAUAUUGUUUAAAGGGA